RNAcentral lists this ribosomal RNA (435 nucleotides) under uncultured bacterium. RNAcentral's name for it is "partial 16S ribosomal RNA". It matches the Rfam family "Bacterial small subunit ribosomal RNA", at positions 29 to 507 of the family's 1533-position model. The record is from RNAcentral.
AACGAACGCUGGCGGCAUGCCUAACACAUGCCAGUCGAACGAUUACCUUCUGGUUUUAGGGGCGCACGGGUUCGUAACGCGUGGGAAUAUGCGCUUAUGUUCGGAAUAACAGCUGGAAACGGCUGCUAAUACCGGGGGCUAACACCGGAUCAAAGCUUUAUCGCCUGAGUAUGGGCCCGCGUUGGUUUGGGGAGUUGGUGGGGUACAGGCCUUCCAAGCCUACGAUUCAUAGCUGGUCUGAGAGGAUGAUUAGCCGGACUGGGACUGCGACACGGCCCAGACUGGGACGGGAGGCAGCAGUGUGGAAUAUUGGACGAUGAACGCAAGCCUGAUCCAGCAAUGCCGGGUGAGUGAUGCAGGGGGUAGGGUUGUAAAGCUGUUUUACACGGGAAGUUAGUGACUGUACCGGGUGAAUAAGCCCCGGCUAACUCCGUG